RNAcentral lists this ribosomal RNA (254 nucleotides) under uncultured bacterium. Its description in RNAcentral is "partial 16S ribosomal RNA". It matches the Rfam family "Bacterial small subunit ribosomal RNA", at positions 524 to 776 of the family's 1533-position model. The record is from RNAcentral.
UACGGGGGGAGCAAGCGUUGUUCGGAUUUACUGGGCGUAAAGGGCGCGUAGGCGGCCACUGCAGGUCAGUUGUGAAAUCUCCGGGCUUAACCCGGAAAGGUCAAUCGAUACUGCGGGGCUAGAGUGCAGAAGGGGCAACUGGAAUUCUCGGUGUAGCGGUGAAAUGCGUAGAUAUCGAGAGGAACACCUGCGGCGAAGGCGGGUUGCUGGGCUGACACUGACGCUGAAGCGCGAAAGCUAGGGGAGCGAACGGG